RNAcentral lists this ribosomal RNA (319 nucleotides) under uncultured eukaryote. RNAcentral describes it as "partial 18S ribosomal RNA". It matches the Rfam family "Eukaryotic small subunit ribosomal RNA", at positions 1470 to 1796 of the family's 1831-position model. The record is from RNAcentral.
CCCCUAGAUGUUCUGGGCCGCACGCGCGCUACACUGAACAGUUCAACAAGUCUUAACCUUGGCCGAUAGGUCUGGGUAAUCUUUGAACGCUGUUCGUGAUUGGGAUAGACCUUUGCAAUUAUGGAUCUUGAACGAGGAAUGCCUAGUAAGCGCAGGUCAUUAGCCUGCGCUGAUUACGUCCCUGCCCUUUGUACACACCGCCCGUCGCUACUACCGAUUUCGAGUGGUCCGGUGAAGCUUUUGGACUGCGCGUGGCUUCGUGCCGUGUCGCGGAAAGUCAGCUAAACCUUAUCACUUAGAGGAAGUAAAAGUCGUAACA